GGUAGCGCUACCUGCAGUCGAGCGGAUGAAGGGAGCUUGCUCCUGGAUUCAGCGGCGGACGGGUCAGUAAUGCCUAGGAAUCUGCCUGGUAGUGGGGGAUAACGUCCGGAAACGGGCGCUAAUACCGCAUACGUCCUGAGGGAGAAAGUGGGGGAUCUUCGGACCUCACGCUAUCAGAUGAGCCUAGGUCGGAUUAGCUAGUUGGUGGGGUAAAGGCCUACCAAGGCGACGAUCCGUAACUGGUCUGAGAGGAUGAUCAGUCACACUGGAACUGAGACACGGUCCAGACUCCUACGGGAGGCAGCAGUGGGGAAUAUUGGACAAUGGGCGAAAGCCUGAUCCAGCCAUGCCGCGUGUGUGAAGAAGGUCUUCGGAUUGUAAAGCACUUUAAGUUGGGAGGAAGGGCAGUAAGUUAAUACCUUGCUGUUUUGACGUUACCAACAGAAUAAGCACCGGCUAACUUCGUGCCAGCAGCCGCGGUAAUACGAAGGGUGCAAGCGUUAAUCGGAAUUACUGGGCGUAAAGCGCGCGUAGGUGGUUCAGCAAGUUGGAUGUGAAAUCCCCGGGCUCAACCUGGGAACUGCAUCCAAAACUACUGAGCUAUAGUACAGCUUAGUUUGGUGAAAUUUCCCUGUGCUCCAUAUAUCUCUCACCUUCUAUAUGCUUCUACUCUGUUCCAAAGGCAUCUAUUGCUCUCCUAUUCCAAAAUCCUCUAUAUAUACGAGUCGUAAACUUGAUAUUUUCUCUA
This 748-nucleotide ribosomal RNA is filed under the name Pseudomonas aeruginosa. RNAcentral describes it as "bacterial SSU rRNA". It matches the Rfam family "Bacterial small subunit ribosomal RNA", at positions 45 to 711 of the family's 1533-position model. Lineage: Bacteria; Pseudomonadati; Pseudomonadota; Gammaproteobacteria; Pseudomonadales; Pseudomonadaceae. The record is from RNAcentral.